This is a non-coding RNA of Pangasianodon gigas (Mekong giant catfish), 73 nucleotides long. The record is from the annotation of a GenBank genome assembly. NCBI's taxonomy places the organism in Eukaryota, Metazoa, Chordata, Actinopteri, Siluriformes, Pangasiidae.
GACUGGCUAGCUCAGUUGGUAGGACAUGGGACUCUUGAGUUCAGGAUCGUGGGUUUGAGCCCCAUGCUGGGUG